AACCAUUUAGCUCAGUCAGUAGAGCAUUAAUUUUUUAACUGAAAGGUUCUGAGUUCGAGCCUAGUAUUGGUUA
RNAcentral lists this transfer RNA (73 nucleotides) under Magallana gigas (Pacific oyster). Its description in RNAcentral is "Crassostrea gigas (Pacific oyster) tRNA". It matches the Rfam family "tRNA". From Rfam's summary of the family: Transfer RNA (tRNA) molecules are approximately 80 nucleotides in length. Their secondary structure includes four short double-helical elements and three loops (D, anti-codon, and T loops). Lineage: Eukaryota; Metazoa; Mollusca; Bivalvia; Ostreida; Ostreidae. The record is from Rfam by way of RNAcentral.